GAAUUUUAAACCCUGGAAGUAUGAUACUAUGAUAAUUCUUUGAGUUAUACCUCUAGAAAAUUUGUUUUCUGUAUACAUUAGAUCUAUUUUUUCCCUAUAAAAAUUAUUUUAUCGAGAGAGUGAAGUUUACCCUGCUUAGGAUCGCCUGCACAUCUGGUACUUAUUUGCAGGCAUAUAAAUAAUUAAUAGAUUCAAUGACAUACUGCGAAUUUCACAUUGAUAUGUAAAAUAUAUUUAGCACCAUUAAACAUCAAUAGUGACUUGCUUUGUAGUUAGGUCUUAUCAAAUAAUAAACAUCCUCUGACUGCAAUCAGUUUUUCUCCAAGUGGGUAAUCCAUAAUAGGAAAUUUUUAAAAAACCCUCCAGCCUGGUCUUGAUCACCCCCUGAAAUUGUCAGUGAGAAAUAGAUCACUUAGUACCAGCUGAAUUUAAUAAGUUUAUUCAGUGUAAGUAAAAGAAGCAAUAAUUUUAAGUCAACUGCAAAAAAAAAAAAAAAAAUGUCAAAUAGAAAUAGUUUUUGGACUAUCCAGUGCUUGUGGUUUAUGUCUUCGUCCCCUAGAGAAAUAACAAUACCCAAACACACCUGAAAUACAUAUAUGAAGCUUUAAAAGCAUACAGCUUAUUUCUUUUAUUCCGUACACACUAUUUCCUUCCCUUUAGUCAUUUUUCCUCCC
This 674-nucleotide long non-coding RNA is filed under the name Bos taurus (domestic cattle). RNAcentral describes it as "long non-coding RNA NONBTAT025340". Lineage: Eukaryota; Metazoa; Chordata; Mammalia; Artiodactyla; Bovidae. The record is from RNAcentral.